Molecule: non-coding RNA, 882 nt
Organism: Kogia breviceps (pygmy sperm whale)
Lineage: Eukaryota; Metazoa; Chordata; Mammalia; Artiodactyla; Physeteridae
Source: RefSeq, a predicted model, not a curated record
UCUGGAGGAAAUGACAUCUAACCUGGAAUCUGAAGGAUUGCUAGAAGUGAGCCAGACCAGGGGAAUGAGAGAAUGUUGUAGGCAGAGAGAAAAAAACCUAGGUGAAGGCCUGAAAAGUAAGUGAGAGAGAGAAUUUGGUGAAUCGAAGGACCUGAAAGAAUUUUGGUAUGCCUGGAUCAACACAACUGUGUUUGUAUGUGUGUGUGUGCAUAGGUGACGUGAGGGUGGUGGAGCAUUUGUGAUUGAUAAGUCAGGCAGGUUCUCUUACAUCGACCACCUAAGAGUCGUGCUGUAAGAAGCAACAACCUCUCCUCCUCCUCUCCGCCAUCUGCUCAGCAGCCUUAAAACAGCAGCUAUGCGUGAGUGCAUCUCCAUCCAUGUUGGCCAGGCUGGUGUCAGAUCGGCAGUGCCUACUGGGAGCUCUGCUACCUGGAACACGGCAUCCAGCCCGAUGGCCAGAUGCCAAGUGACAAGACAAUUGGGGGAGGAGAUGACUGCUUUAACACCUUCUUCAGUGAGACAGGCGCUGGCAGGCAUGUGCCCAGGGCAGUGUUUGUAGACGUGGAACCCACGGUCAUUGAUGAAGUUUGCAUUGGCACCUACUGCCCGCUCUUCCACCCUGAGCAGCUCAUCACAGGCAAGGAAGAUGCUGCCAAUAACUAUGCCUGAGGUCACUACGCCAUUGGCAAGGAGAUCAUUGACCUCAUCUUGGACCCAGUUCGGAAACUGGCUGACCAGUGCACAAGUCUUCAGUGCUUCUUGGUUUUCCACAGCUUUGGUGGGUGAACUGGUUCUGGGUUCACCUCCCUGCUGAUGGAACAUCUGUCUGUCGAUUAUGGCAAGAAGUCCAAGCUGGAGUUCUCCAUUUACCCAGCCCCUCAG